RNAcentral lists this ribosomal RNA (243 nucleotides) under Listeria monocytogenes. RNAcentral's name for it is "partial 23S ribosomal RNA". It matches the Rfam family "Bacterial large subunit ribosomal RNA", at positions 1308 to 1550 of the family's 2925-position model. The record is from RNAcentral. Lineage: Bacteria; Bacillati; Bacillota; Bacilli; Caryophanales; Listeriaceae.
AGCGAAAGAAGGGUGAGAAUCCCUUCCACCGAAGAUCUAAGGUUUCCUGAGGAGGGCUCGUCCGCUCAGGGUUAGUCGGGACCUAAGCCGAGGCCGAUAGGCGUAGGCGAUGGACAACAGGUAGAGAGUCCUGUACCAGUGCUAAUUGUUUAACCGAUGGGGUGACACAGAAGGAUAGGGAAUCGCACGAAUGGAAAUGUGCGUCCAAGCAGUGAGUGUGAGAAGUAGGCAAAUCCGCUUCUC